AUUUUAAAGUGCCAUCUCCCAGAAUGGUUUAGCCCAGAUUGGAAGCAGGAGGGAGCGGGAUGAAAUGGAAGACCGCAAGGUGUCUCCCCCUCAGAGCCCUGACUCUCUGAACAUAAUUUGGCGACGACUCCCUGCGGCGUCUUUCGCUCCUCGUCUGCACAAUGAGGGUGCUAAUACCUGAAACCUCCGCGUCUUGCAGGAAUCCUGAACGGAUCAAGUUACCCUGAAAACCACACAGGGUGUUGAUCCAAGGAUCUGUUUUUACAUUUGAAUGCAGCAGUCAACUGGAGCAUAAUAGAUUGCAGACCUCUGUGAGAAAUCGCUGUGAAGGCUUCAGCGGGGAACUGUGGGCUGCUGCAGAGAACUGCACUGUCAGCAGGUUCAUUUGCCCAGGCAGGGGCUGAAACAGAGCCGGUCAAAUGACUAUUCACCAAGGUCUUCUGGAAUGUUCUUAGCACCUCUUCCUCUGAAGUUCUCCAGUAACACAAUGAAGUCUUAUAGGCACUGAGGCAGAGGGAUGGACUUAUUGAAAUUCACCUUUAAUUCUUUUACUCCUGCCAGGCUGACUUGAGGACUCUAGGUUCUGAAUUCAGUUCAGAUGUCAAUUCACAGGCUCACUGUUAUGUUAUGGGUUGAACUGUGUCCUUCCAAAAUUCAUACGUUGAAGUUCUAGCCUCCAGUACCUCAGAAAGUGACCUUAUUUAAAAACAGAGUCUUUAAAACGAGGUCAUUGGGGUGGGCCCUAAUGCGAUAGGACUGGUGUCCUCAUAAAAGGGAAACAUGGAGGCAGAUAUACACAUAGAGAGAAUGACAUGUGAACAUGAAAGCAGAGGUUGAGGUGAUGCUUCUACAAGCCAAGGGAUGUCAAAGAUGGCACGUGAGGCACGUGAAGCUAGUUAAGAGACAGGAAACAGCCCUCAGAAGGAACCAGCCCUGCCUACACCUUGAUCUUGGAUGUCUAGCUUACAGAACUAUGAGACAACACAUUUCUGUGGCUUAAGUCACUCAGUUUGUGGUACUUUGUUAGAGCUGCUCUCUCAAUGUAAAAUAGUCAACUUUCGGUACAUCUCCCCUCUGUAUUGUUUCCCAUAAAAGGAAAUCCAGGGCCGGCCGAGUGGCACAAUGGUUACGAACUGGCUUGGGAUGCAAGAGGGCCCGGUUCGGAUCCC
Hipposideros armiger (great roundleaf bat) is the source of this 1169-nucleotide long non-coding RNA. RefSeq lists it as uncharacterized. The record is from RefSeq and is a predicted model, not a curated record. The transcript has 3 exons. NCBI's taxonomy places the organism in Eukaryota, Metazoa, Chordata, Mammalia, Chiroptera, Hipposideridae.